Molecule: long non-coding RNA, 412 nt
Organism: Rosa chinensis
Lineage: Eukaryota; Viridiplantae; Streptophyta; Magnoliopsida; Rosales; Rosaceae
Exons: 2
Source: RefSeq, a predicted model, not a curated record
CCCUCACUCUUAUAUCUCUCUCUCUUCAACUCUCAUUCUCCGAUUUCUUUAUGUCUCUCGCCAUAUUCCACAAAAGAUUGGGCCGCAAAUAAAAUUAGGCCAUGUCCUUCGAGACUAGAUGAGGAGAUCUAUGUUCUUCAUCAAAUCCGUCCACCGCGGCUAAUCGACGGACUCUAUCCCCCAGUUAAGGUCGUUGUUCUUGGUGUUCUCCAUCAUCUCCAUCAGGCUAUGGAAUCUUAGAUCUGGAGGGGAUGAGAUGAAGCUUGAAUUUUUUUCUUUUUCGAUGCGAUCUGGGAACCGAGAAGUUGUGUUUAAAGCUUUGAUAUUUUCUUGUUGCUAUUAUUUUUUUUUUCUUAUGAAUUUUGGCACUCUUGAUUAUAGCAAACCCAGUUCAAUAUGUUUGUUGAGAUUA